This 522-nucleotide ribosomal RNA is filed under the name Apophysomyces variabilis. Its description in RNAcentral is "eukaryotic LSU rRNA". It matches the Rfam family "Eukaryotic large subunit ribosomal RNA", at positions 134 to 623 of the family's 3401-position model. The record is from RNAcentral. Lineage: Eukaryota; Fungi; Mucoromycota; Mucoromycetes; Mucorales; Mucoraceae.
AGAUCGAAUUGUAAACUUUUAGAGUCGUUGUCCAGACCAGCCGAGUAAAUAAGUUCCUUGGAAUAGGACAUCAUGGAGGGUGAGAAUCCCGUCUUUGGCUUGAGCAUUGGUCUUUUGUGAUGCGACUUCAACGAGUCAGGUUGUUUGGGAAUGCAGCCUUAAUUGGGUGGUAAAUCUCACCUAAAGCUAAAUAUUGGCGAGAGACCGAUAGCGAACAAGUACCGUGAGGGAAAGAUGAAAAGAACUUUGAAAAGAGAGUUAAACAGUAUGUGAAAUUGCUAAAAGGGAACCGUUUGAAGUCAGUCUGGCUGGUCUGCAAUCAGCUUCAACUUUGGUUGGAGUGCACUUGUAGGCCAUUUUGCCUGCCAACAACAGUUUGUUCUGCAGCAAAAAGGUGUUGAGAAUGUAGCUUUCUCUUUGGAGGAAGUGUUAUAGCUCUUCGCGAAAUACUGUGGUUCAGACUGAGGCUUGCAGUGAAUGCUAUUUUGGCUUUGGGGAUGGAUUGCUCAGUGCUUUGCUUGG